UGCACACACUGCCCGUCGCUCCACCCGAGGGAGGCUUGGGUGAGGCCUCUGCCGCAGGGCUGGGGACGAACCUAAGCCUCCUGAGGGGGGAGAAGUCGUAACAAGGUAGCCGUAGGGGAACCUGCGGCUGGAUCACCUCCC
This 141-nucleotide ribosomal RNA is filed under the name Thermoprotei archaeon. RNAcentral describes it as "partial 16S ribosomal RNA". It matches the Rfam family "Archaeal small subunit ribosomal RNA", at positions 1338 to 1478 of the family's 1478-position model. The record is from RNAcentral. Lineage: Archaea; Thermoproteati; Thermoproteota; Thermoprotei.